CCUAGGGGCUGUGUGGAUUGCGCUGACUACAUAUAUCUGAGCAAUGUGGGUAUUUCUCUUCUAGCAUCAACUAGAAAACUGGAGUAACUAGCCCUCCAGUCAGAAAUCUGGCUCUGACAUCAGACAUGAAAAGAUGCUGAACAAUGUGCUAAACAAGAAGAUGUUGCUGCGGCUGAGGUCGAAGAGGUUUCUGCCAGUGUUCUCCUCAAGGAUUUUGAGGACCUUUCUCACAUUGACGACCUUCAUCCGUUUUGAGUCUAUCUUCAUGUGUGGUAUAAGGAAUUGGUCCAAUUUCAUUUUCCUGCAUGUUAUCCACAUGGAAAUUUUUAUAAAAAUUACUUAUGAAGGAUCCCCACUGGAGAAUUAUUUGUAAUAAAGGAAAACUGGAAGCAACUCCAAUGUAUAUCUGUACAGAAGCAAUCAAAUAAAUC
Molecule: long non-coding RNA, 431 nt
Filed under: Mustela putorius furo (domestic ferret)
Lineage: Eukaryota; Metazoa; Chordata; Mammalia; Carnivora; Mustelidae
Description: lncRNA (ENSMPUG00000029068.1)
Source: RNAcentral